RNAcentral lists this ribosomal RNA (505 nucleotides) under uncultured Actinomycetes bacterium. RNAcentral describes it as "bacterial SSU rRNA". It matches the Rfam family "Bacterial small subunit ribosomal RNA", at positions 8 to 522 of the family's 1533-position model. The record is from RNAcentral. Lineage: Bacteria; Bacillati; Actinomycetota; Actinomycetes.
AGAGUUUGAUCAUGGCUCAGGACGAACGCUGGCGGCGUGCUUAACACAUGCAAGUCGAACGGUGAUCUUGAGAGCUUGCUCUUGGGUGAUCAGUGGCGAACGGGUGAGUAACACGUGAGCAACCUGCCCCAGACUCUGGAAUAACCCCGGGAAACCGGAGCUAAUACCGGAUACGACACUGGCCCGCAUGGGUAUGGUGUGGAAAGUUUUUCGGUCUGGGAUGGGCUCGCGGCCUAUCAGCUUGUUGGUGAGGUAGUGGCUCACCAAGGCGACGACAGGUAGCCGGCCUGAGAGGGCGACCGGCCACACUGGGACUGAGACACGGCCCAGACUCCUACGGGAGGCAGCAGUGGGGAAUAUUGCACAAUGGGCGCAAGCCUGAUGCAGCGACGCCGCGUGAGGGAUGACGGCCUUCGGGUUGUAAACCUCUUUCAGCAGGGAAGAAGCGCAAGUGACGGUACCUGCAGAAGAAGCACCGGCUAACUACGUGCCAGCAGCCGCGGUA